This 270-nucleotide ribosomal RNA is filed under the name uncultured Lachnospiraceae bacterium. Its description in RNAcentral is "partial 16S ribosomal RNA". It matches the Rfam family "Bacterial small subunit ribosomal RNA", at positions 61 to 339 of the family's 1533-position model. Lineage: Bacteria; Bacillati; Bacillota; Clostridia; Lachnospirales; Lachnospiraceae. The record is from RNAcentral.
AUUCGUCAAAUGAAAUUAAAUCCGAGUGGCGGACGGGUGAGUAACGCGUGGAUAACCUGCCUCACACAGGGGGACAACAGCCGGAAACGGCUGCUAAUACCGCAUAACACAAGCAAUUCGCAUGAAUAGCUUGUCAAAGAUUUUAUCGGUGUGAGAUGGAUCCGCGUCUGAUUAGCCAGUUGGCGGGGUAACGGCCCACCAAAGCGACGAUCAGUAGCCGACCUGAGAGGGUGACCGGCCACAUUGGGACUGAGACACGGCCCAAACUCC